GUUUGUACUUUUCCACAGCUUUCUUGAACUGCAUGAUCAGUAUCCUGCUAACAAGCUACCUAGCGUAACAAAGUGGGGCUAUGCAUGGCUACUGCGGUUCAAUAAAGCUGUGGGAAGAUACGGAUA
RNAcentral lists this microRNA precursor (126 nucleotides) under Nelumbo nucifera (sacred lotus). Its description in RNAcentral is "MIR396 microRNA precursor family". It matches the Rfam family "MIR396 microRNA precursor family". The record is from Rfam by way of RNAcentral. Lineage: Eukaryota; Viridiplantae; Streptophyta; Magnoliopsida; Proteales; Nelumbonaceae.